This 502-nucleotide ribosomal RNA is filed under the name uncultured bacterium. RNAcentral's name for it is "partial 16S ribosomal RNA". It matches the Rfam family "Bacterial small subunit ribosomal RNA", at positions 29 to 523 of the family's 1533-position model. The record is from RNAcentral.
AUUGAACGCUGGCGGUAUGCUUAACAUAUGCAAGUCGAACGGCAGCACGGUAUGUAGCAAUACAUAUGGGUGGCAAGUGGCGGACGGGUGAGUAACGCGUAGGAAUCUGCCCUCAAGCGGGGGACAACCCGAGGAAACUCGGGCUAAUACCGCAUAAACUCGGAAGAGAAAAGCUGGGGUAACCUGGCACUUGAGGAGGAGCCUGCGUCUGAUUAGCUAGUUGGUAGGGUAAAGGCCUACCAAGGCGAUGAUCAGUAGAUGGUCUGAGAGGAUGACCAGCCCCACCGGAACCGAGACACGGGCCAGACUCCUGCGGGAGGCAGGAGUGGGGAAUAUUGGCCAAUGGGGGAAACCCUGAUUCAGCAAUAACGCGUGUGUGAAGAAGGCCUUCGGGUUGUAAAGCACUUUAGUUGGGGAGGAAGGUUAGCAGUUUAAGAGAUGGCUAAUUUGACUGUACCCAAAGAAGAAGCACCGGCUAACUCUGUGCCAGCCGCCGCGGUAA